CGUUCCCGGGCCUUGUACACACCGCCCGUCACACCACGAAAGUCGGUUAACACCCGAAGCCAGUGGCCAACCCGCAAGGGGGGAGCUGUCGAAGGUGGGAUCGGCGAUUGGGGUG
Molecule: ribosomal RNA, 115 nt
Filed under: uncultured bacterium
Lineage: Bacteria
Description: partial 16S ribosomal RNA
Rfam family: Bacterial small subunit ribosomal RNA
Source: RNAcentral